CUAACAACACAGUGAGGAUUAGCACGGCCCCCACGCAAGGAGGACACGCACAUCCGUGAAGCAUUUUUUUUUUUU
Molecule: small nuclear RNA, 75 nt
Filed under: Peromyscus maniculatus bairdii (prairie deer mouse)
Lineage: Eukaryota; Metazoa; Chordata; Mammalia; Rodentia; Cricetidae
Source: RNAcentral